RNAcentral lists this ribosomal RNA (441 nucleotides) under uncultured bacterium. RNAcentral describes it as "partial 16S ribosomal RNA". It matches the Rfam family "Bacterial small subunit ribosomal RNA", at positions 338 to 795 of the family's 1533-position model. The record is from RNAcentral.
CCUACGGGUGGCUGCAGUGGGGAAUAUUGCACAAUGGGGGAAACCCUGAUGCAGCGACGCCGCGUGAGUGAAGAAGUAUUUCGGAACGUAAAGCUCUAUCAGCAGGGAAGAAAAAAGACGGUACCUGUCUACGAAGCCUCGGCUAACCACGCGCCAGCAGCCGCGGCAAUACGCAGGGGGCAAGCGUUAUACGGAUUUACUGGGCGUAAAGGGAGCGUAGACGGCGCGGCAAGUCUGGAGUGAAAGGCAGGGGCUUAACCCCUGAACUGCUUUGGAAACUGGCAUGCUAGAGUGCUGGAGAGGUUAGUGGAAUUCCUGGUGUAGGGGUGAAAUGCGUAGAUAUUAGGAGGAACACCAGUGGCGAAGGCGGCUAACUGGACAGUAACUGACGUUGAGGAGCGAAAGCGUGGGGAGCAAACAGGAUUAGAUACCCGGGUAGUC